AGUGAACGCUGGCGGUAGGCCUAACACAUGCAAGUCGAACGGCAGCACAGUAAGAGCUUGCUCUUACGGGUGGCGAGUGGCGGACGGGUGCGGAAUACAUCGGAAUCUACUUUUUCGUGGGGGAUAACGUAGGGAAACUUACGCUAAUACCGCAUACGACCUACGUGUGAAAGCAGGGGAUCUUCGGACCUUGCGCGAUUGAAUGAGCCGAUGUCGGAUUAGCUAGUUGGCGGGGUAAAGGCCCACCAAGGCGACGAUCCGUAGCUGGUCUGAGAGGAUGAUCAGCCACACUGGAACUGAGACACGGUCCAGACUCCUACGGGAGGCAGCAGUGGGGAAUAUUGGACAAUGGGCGCAAGCCUGAUCCAGCCAUACCGCGUGGGUGAAGAAGGCCUUCGGGUUGUAAAGCCCUUUUGUUGGGAAAGAAAAGCAGCAGGUUAAUACCCCGCUGUUCUGACGGUACCAAAAGAAUAAGCACCGGCUAACUUCGUG
Molecule: ribosomal RNA, 492 nt
Filed under: uncultured bacterium
Lineage: Bacteria
Description: partial 16S ribosomal RNA
Rfam family: Bacterial small subunit ribosomal RNA
Source: RNAcentral